RNAcentral lists this ribosomal RNA (448 nucleotides) under uncultured bacterium. Its description in RNAcentral is "bacterial SSU rRNA". It matches the Rfam family "Bacterial small subunit ribosomal RNA", at positions 353 to 793 of the family's 1533-position model. The record is from RNAcentral.
AGUGGGGAAGUAUUGCACAAUGGGGGAAACCCGUCGAUGCAGCCAUGCCGCGUGUGUGAGAAGGCUCGGGUUGUAAAGCACUUUCAGUAGGGAGGAAGGUAGUGUAGUUAACACCUGCAUAUUUGACGUUACCUACAGAAGAAGCACCGGCUAACUCCGUGCCAGCAGCCGCGGUAAUACGGAGGGUGCGAGCGUUAAUCGGAAUUACUGGGCGUAAAGCGCAUGCAGGCGGCCUGUUAAGUCAGAUGUGAAAGCCCGGGGCUUAACCUCGGAAUUGCAUUUGAAACUGGCAGGCUAGAGUCUUGUAGAGGGGGGUAGGAAUUUCAGGUGUAGCGGUGAAAUGCGUAGAGAUCUGAAGGAAUACCAGUGGCGAAGGCGGCCCCCUGGACAAAGACUGACGCUCAGAUGCGAAAGCGUGGGGAGCAAACAGGAUUAGAUACCCUGGUAG